Molecule: non-coding RNA, 88 nt
Organism: Marasmius tenuissimus
Lineage: Eukaryota; Fungi; Basidiomycota; Agaricomycetes; Agaricales; Marasmiaceae
Source: the annotation of a GenBank genome assembly
UGCCCCAUGGCUGAGUUGGUUACAGCGUCCGACUGUUAGGACAUCGCAAGCAAUCGGAAGGUCGUGAGUUCGAGCCUCACUGGGGCAG